Molecule: long non-coding RNA, 842 nt
Organism: Terrapene triunguis (Three-toed box turtle)
Lineage: Eukaryota; Metazoa; Chordata; Testudines; Emydidae
Exons: 3
Source: RefSeq, a predicted model, not a curated record
GUUUUUUUGCUGUGCAGACAUACCUUCUGACGAGUUUAGAUUAAGACCUUGUAUCAUCCUGGUACAUUGCAUAAUCUGCAGUGAUGAAAUUCACCCUUGUGCAGAGGGUCUGCACAAAGAUAUAGGCGAAACAUGAGGCCCUCUUAAGCCUCCAGGGUGACAGCAGUGUUCAAGUCCUUGUACGAGCUCUAAACUUCACCAGUGACUCAUGUUCUUGCUCUGCUCCAAUGAUCACCACUGCUCCAUACGCCAAUUGGGAUUCAAUAGUCACUAACAAGGUAAAGGCACAAUACGUUAUUUCUGUUGUAGUAAAGGGAUUGCUAGUGCCUAGUUUAUGAGGAAGGGUAACUGAGGUGGCAACCAUCCCUAUGGAAAAAUAUUUUGGGGGAAAAGCAACCAAAGCAAUGCAAAGUCAGCUGGAUUUUUGUUUGUUUGCCCAGUGUCACCCAGGUUGACAUAUGUACUAGAGCAACCUAAAAAAAGUCUCUCUUUUUGUUUCCCCAAGGAAGAGUUCUUGAAUUUUUAUCUCUUUAGGAGUUUGUUACAGCGCCUUCACUACUCUGGGAAAUAUCAGACCCAGUUCCACCCAGUGACAGAGUCUCCACCGGAGCCCACCAUGACGCCGCAGGAGUCUUCACCACCAUCAUCUGUUCCACCUGAAACUCGUCUCUUUGACUGAUGCCUAGCUGGAGCGAGUGGAUGGAUUCACUGGUGACUGCCCAGUUGUGGUCAGAAGAAACCCAAGGAACAUUCAGUCAUCACUCUUCCACAAGUAGAAGAAAAAGUAGCAGAAAUUGGCUACUUGGAAAUUGUCUUGUCUGUAUUAACUCUGAUUAAUAAAA